UGUAGAAGCCUUUGCUUUUGCUCCUUCAUCUGUACCUACUUGAGAAAGAGAAAGCCUGCUCUCCGAUUAAGUAGAAGCUCUGUGUCAUUAAGUCAGAUGGAGAAACUGCGGCUCGGACGGGCUCAGGACCUAGACAUGAUUCUCACCCCAACCUGAGGAUCUCCUUCAGACAUCAUGUGUCCUGUGAGAUGGGCCAAGGAAGCCCCGCCCAAAUCCAAGAGUCCACAGGAGCAUUACCCAGAACUGGUGAAAAUUAAAAGGCUGGCUGCUUCCAGCCUACUUUGCACAGAGGAGGAGGAUUAUCAAGAGCAUCGAGUCUUAACAGUGGGAGUGCCUUUGGCUGGUGGCAAACUGUGGAUGAAGUUUUGCAGGCAGGUUUCACAGGUGAGUUGUCUGGGAGACAGAACCCAGACCCAAACUGUAGAGGAGACACACCCUUGAGAGGUCUCCCAGCCAGUCAAGCAAUGCCUCCAAAGCUGCAAGUCUCAGGAGAAAGGUGCUCGGGGCCUGCCUCCUAAAGCAGUGCUCUCUGGGUGGGAGCUGAUGCUGUGAGGACCCAAAGGCUGGGAUGCCUCCGCCCUCCUCCUCAGCCCCACCUGCCCACGUCCCCAAGGCUUGUCUCUCCUACCAAGGUUUCCUGGCCCACCUAACCAGUCUCAGCUUUGGAAAAGAAUACCCAACCUCUUCCAGGAUGCCUCUAUAAACCCUACGUGGUCUCCACAAAGUGGGAAGAAAUGAAGGAGAUGCAUGAGUUAAGGGACAGGGCUGGGAUUAUGAGCAAAUGUUCUCAGUGACCAGAGAUGGCCCUUCAUGUGUGUGUUGGGUGGGUGGGGUGGUAAGAACAUGUGAGUGCGUGUUUGGAGGCCAGAGGCCUAGGCUAUGUGUCUUCCUCAGUCACUCUCCAUCCAUUGCCUCUGCAAUUGCAUUUUUAUCUGGAUACUGGGGGUUGAACCUGGAUCCUCAUGCUUGCAUGGCAAACAUUUUACCCACCAAGCCAUCUCCCCAAGUCUCUAUCUAGACAAUGCCUUUUGCCUGGAAUCUCCAGAAAAAAAAUUAAAAUUAAAAUUAAAAGAAAUCCAGAAGGAUUGAGUAU
Molecule: long non-coding RNA, 1093 nt
Organism: Meriones unguiculatus (Mongolian gerbil)
Lineage: Eukaryota; Metazoa; Chordata; Mammalia; Rodentia; Muridae
Exons: 3
Source: RefSeq, a predicted model, not a curated record